GGUCGGAUAGCUGAGACGGAUUACGCGCUUGCCUGAAGAGCAGGAGAGGUCAGUUCGAUUCUGACUCCGACCA
Molecule: transfer RNA, 73 nt
Filed under: Acidobacteriota bacterium
Lineage: Bacteria; Pseudomonadati; Acidobacteriota
Description: tRNA-Phe
Rfam family: tRNA
About the family: Transfer RNA (tRNA) molecules are approximately 80 nucleotides in length. Their secondary structure includes four short double-helical elements and three loops (D, anti-codon, and T loops).
Source: RNAcentral